This is a non-coding RNA of Triticum aestivum (bread wheat), 135 nucleotides long. Lineage: Eukaryota; Viridiplantae; Streptophyta; Magnoliopsida; Poales; Poaceae. The record is from Rfam.
AAAGUACUCCCUCCGUUCCAAAAUUCUUAUUUUAGAUUUGUCUAGAUACGGAUGUAUCUAAUACUAAAACGUGACGUGACACAUCCGUAUUUAGACAAAUCUAAGACAAGAAUUUUGAUACGGAGGGAGUAUGAA